RNAcentral lists this ribosomal RNA (1172 nucleotides) under Pentacoelum kazukolinda. RNAcentral's name for it is "SSU rRNA". It matches the Rfam family "Eukaryotic small subunit ribosomal RNA", at positions 583 to 1787 of the family's 1831-position model. The record is from RNAcentral. Lineage: Eukaryota; Metazoa; Platyhelminthes; Tricladida; Bdellouridae.
UUCCAGNUCCAAUAGNGUGUAUUAAAGUUUUGCAGUUAAAAGCUCGUAGUCGAAUUGAGGUGUACUUUGGAUUGAUAGAAUUUAUGACUAGUGGCGCCUUCUCCAUCGUGUGUACUUUUGAUGACUUUCACGAGUUGUCGGAGGUAACCGACAAGUUUACUUUGAAAAAAUUAGAGUGCUUAAAGCAGGCUUACGCUUGAAUAUUGAUGCAUGGAAUAAUGAAAUAGGACUUUGGUUCUAUUUUCAGUUGGUUUCAAGAACCGAAGUAAUGAUCGAUAGAAUCAGCCGGGGGCAUACGUACGCUUGUGGGAGAGGUGAAAUUCGAGGAUCGCAAGCAGACGAACUACUGCGAAAGCAUUUGCCAAGAAUGUUUUCAUUGAUCAAGAACGAAAGUUAGAGGAUCGAAAGCGAUCAGAUACCGCUCUAGUUCUAACCAUAAACUAUGCCGACUGACGAUUUACUAUGGCACACCUUUUUUGCCUUGUGAGCAGUCACUGGAAAACCUAAGUCUAUGGGUUCUGGGGGAAGUAUGGUUGCAAAGCUGAAACUUAAAGGAAUUGACGGAAGGGCACCACCAGGAGUGGAGCCUGCGGCUUAAUUUGACUCAACACGGGAAAUCUCACCCGGUCCGGACACUGUGAUGAUUGACAGAUUGAUAGCUCUUUCUUGAUUCAGUGGGUGGUGGUGCAUGGCCGUUCUUAGUUGGUGGAUUGAUUUGUCUGGUUAAUUCCGAUAACGAACGAGACUCUAACCUACUAAAUAGUACACGCAUGAAUUGACUCUAGUGCGUGCUGACUUCUUAGAGGAAUUAGUGGUUAUUAACCAAAUGAAAGAGAGCAAUAACAGGUCAGUGAUGCCCUUAGAUGUCCGGGGCCGCACGCGCGCUACAAUGGCAGUACCAGCGAGUUUAAUUCCUAGCCUGAGAGGGUCGGGUAAACUGCUAAUUGCUGUCAUAUCUGGGAUAGUGGUUUGCAAUUAUUCCACUUGAACGAGGAAUUCCUAGUAAGUACAAGUCACUAGCUUGUGCUGAUUACGUCCCUGCCCUUUGUACACACCGCCCGUCGCUACUACCGAUUGAAUAUUUUAGUGAGGUUGUUGGAUUCGACUUUAAGUGACGCAAGUUACUAAAGGUCGGAGAAGAUACCCAAACUGCAAUAUUAGAGGAAGUGAAA